RNAcentral lists this ribosomal RNA (460 nucleotides) under uncultured bacterium. RNAcentral's name for it is "partial 16S ribosomal RNA". It matches the Rfam family "Bacterial small subunit ribosomal RNA", at positions 338 to 795 of the family's 1533-position model. The record is from RNAcentral.
CCUACGGGUGGCAGCAGUGAGGAAUAUUGGUCAAUGGACGAGAGCCUGAACCAGCCAAGUAGCGUGAAGGAUGACUGCCCUAUGGGUUGUAAACUUCUUUUAUAUGGGAAUAAAAUGUUCCACGUGUGGGAUUUUGUAUGUACCAUAUGAAUAAGGAUCGGCUAACUCCGUGCCAGCAGCCGCGGUAAUACGGAGGGUCCGAGCGUUAUCCGGAUUUAUUGGGUUUAAAGGGAGCGUAGGUGGUUUGUUAAGUCAGAUGUGAAAGUUUGCGGCUCAACCGGAAAAUUGCAGUUGAAACUGGCAGUCUUGAGUACAGUAGAGGUGGGCGGAAUUCGUGGUGUAGCGGUGAAAUGCGUAGAUAUCACGAAGAACUCCGAUUGCGAAGGCAGCUCACUGGACUGCAACUGACACUGAGGCUCGAAAGUGUGGGUAUCAAACAGGAUUAGAUACCCCAGUAGUC